Molecule: ribosomal RNA, 434 nt
Filed under: uncultured bacterium
Lineage: Bacteria
Description: bacterial SSU rRNA
Rfam family: Bacterial small subunit ribosomal RNA
Source: RNAcentral
GCAUAACGCGAAGAACCUUACCUACCCUUGACAUGUCUGGAAUCCCGAAGAGAUUUGGGAGUGCUCGCAAGAGAACCGGAACACAGGUGCUGCAUGGCUGUCGUCAGCUCGUGUCGUGAGAUGUUGGGUUAAGUCCCGCAACGAGCGCAACCCUUGUCAUUAGUUGCUACGAAAGGGCACUCUAAUGAGACUGCCGGUGACAAACCGGAGGAAGGUGGGGAUGACGUCAAGUCCUCAUGGCCCUUAUGGGUAGGGCUUCACACGUCAUACAAUGGUCGGGACAGAGGGUUGCCAAGCCGCGAGGUGGAGCCAAUCCCAGAAACCCGAUCGUAGUCCGGAUUGCAGUCUGCAACUCGACUGCAUGAAGUCGGAAUCGCUAGUAAUCGCGGAUCAGAAUGUCGCGGUGAAUACGUUCCCGGGUCUUGUACACACCG